This is a long non-coding RNA of Ruditapes philippinarum (Manila clam), 3386 nucleotides long. RefSeq lists it as uncharacterized. Lineage: Eukaryota; Metazoa; Mollusca; Bivalvia; Venerida; Veneridae. The transcript has 5 exons. The record is from RefSeq and is a predicted model, not a curated record.
ACCUACCUAUAUAUAACCUACCUACCUACCUACCUACCUACCCAACCCUAUUUUAAUGGGUCGAGAAGUGGAAACAAACAUAUUUUUAUUUUUUGCCUAAGAGUUAUCAAAUUGAAACAUCAUAUGUAUCAUGGAGGGUAUUAUAGUUCACAAUAACAGUUAAAAAAUUAUAAGGUAGAAGACCCAUAAUGAAAUCGGCAAUCUUCGACAAUUACCGCCAUAUCUCGCGAUUUAUCGUAACGAACUUCGUUUUUUUACGUAUAAAGUCGGAAUUCUAAUAAUAGCGGAUAUCCCCGGUCACGUGGUAGUAUUCCCCAAGAAAAUGACGUAAUUUCCGUAGAUAUCUAACAUGGCGUCUUACAGGCGUGAUACGCUCGGUCGAUUAAAAAAAAGUGUAAAAAGAUGCAGAAAACCCAAGUAUCCCGACUUAAUUAUAGAACAUAACUAUAGUGCAGGUAACCAGUAUUACGGGUCAAACAAACCAGCUCUACAAAACAUCAACUCUUCCUAAAUCGGUUGAUAAUGAGGGUUGGAAAAAGGGAAGAAGAAUCGUUGAGACUCGAGUUUGGCGUGUUACGGUCAACCCUAAGAUUUUGUAAAAAAUGUAGACUUGGACCAGUAGGCUACCAUUAACUUUUGACAACAUGUUGAACAGGUGAAUUUAAACAGGGUGUGUCUGGAUAUUUGUAUGUGAAAUGUCGAAACACAGAAAUUAUGCGGUCAUGUGAAUUGUGUUCCCUAUGGAAAAACACAGACUCUAGUAGUAGAAGAUUGAAGACCUGGGAAAGUUGGAAUGCCAUGUUUCGUUGUCAACACAAAAUUAGGACCAGCAAUGAUUGAUAGUGUAGGUGGGCCGGUGAGGGGAGGGUCAACAAUUUGUUGUCAACACUCAAUAUACCAACAAUUGGAAAUAAAAACAUGAAAAGAAAUGGAGAGACGUGUUGGAAAUAUCAUUGAGACAGUGGCUUCUAUCUGUCUAUGUCGACAGAAUCUGCUGCGAAAGAUCAAGGAAAUUGAGGAUGUGCAUCAUGAAGAAUCAAUGGUAUCAGAACACAACAUCAUGGAAGAUCUUAUUGACAAGAUCUUGGAGGAUGUCCUUUGCCAGAUGCCUCGCCAGCACUAAAGUCUAUUCUUCAGUCAGAUGCUACAGUUACAAAUGACAGUGAAUGGUCAGAUUUAUACAAUUGUGAUGAACAAUCCUCAACAAUACAUCAAACAAAAAUUGCUAUUAAACUUGUACUGCAUCAAUAAACUAAAUAUGGAGAGUAGCUUAGUCACCAAAGCAGUCAACACCAAAAUACACACAAUGGCCAGGGCACUGAAACUUGAAAGAGUGAAAGAGUAAAGUAGUGCGUUUUUAGCUUACAAAGUGACAUUGCGAGCUUUUGUCUAUCAUUCCUCCGUAAACUUGAUCUUUAAACAACAUCUCAUAAAUUGCCAAGCCAAUUUCAUGCAAACUUACAAUAUUGUCUAGUCAGUUUUUGUUUUGCUUGCAAUUGUUAUAUGACAUGACUAAGACAUUUAGUUUUAUUCUUCAGUUAUUAUGUUUAUGUUUGUAUAAGACCCAAAUAUAUUGUUAAGAUUCAUUUUUACACAUUUGAAAGCCAUUAUUGUUCUAGUCAGCUUUUGUUUUGCUUGCAAUCGUUAUAUGACAUGACUAAAGACAUUUAGUUUUAAUCUUUAAUAAUUAUGUCUAUAUUUGUAUAAGACCCAAAAAUAUUGUUAAGAUUCAUUUUUACAAUUUUAAAAGCCAUUAUUGCUUUAGUCUGUUUUUGUUUUGCUUGCAAUCGUUAUAUGACAUGACUAAAGACAUUUAGUUUAAAUCUUUAGUUAUUAUGUCUAUGAGGGGCAUCCUUGGCCGAGUGAUUAAGGUCAUUGACUUCAAACCACUUGCCCCUCACCACUGUGGGUUGGAAUCCCGACAGGGACUUUGGAUUCUUUCAUGUGAGGAAGCUAUCCAGCUAGCUUAACUGAACGUCGGUGGUUCUACUCAGAUACCCGUUCGUGCCUGAAAUAAUGCAAGGAAGGGCACCUGAACGUCACUAUAUGACCUAUACUGUGUCGAUGUGACGUAAAAACCCAAAACAAACAAACAAAAAAAUUAUGUCUAUGAAAUUAGUUGUUUGUAUAAGACCCAAAUAUAUUGUUGUGAUUAAUUUUAACAAUUUUGAAAGCCAUAAUUGUUCGUGUCAGAUAUUGUUUUGCUCACAAUCAUAAUGUUAUAUGGCAUGAGUUUAAAUCUGAAGGUAUUUUGUCCAUGAAAUAUGCUGUUUGUAUAAGACCAAAAUAUAUUUUUGAGAUUCAUUUUUACAAUUUUGAAAGCCAUUAUUGGUCUAGUUUGUUUUUGCAUAACACAUAACGCUAUUGUUAGUAUUUAUUGUUAUUAAUAGUGAUUUGUCUAAGUGGAUGUCGAAGUAUGUAUGUUAUUCCAUGCCAGUUCAUGUUUGAAUGAAACUUUUUGUCCAGAUAGAAGAUUUCAAACUGUUACUUUUCUGAUUUUUAGCUUUUACAACAAUAUUAUAUUUCCCAUUUUUGGUGCUAAGAAAUACUGCAACAUGUGCUGAAUAAUAGCUAUUGUCAAACAUUGUUUUUAUGCUCCCCGAAAAAUUUCGGGGGAGCAUAUAGUCAUCGGGUUGUCUGUCCAUCUGUCUGUACGUACAUACGAACCCGAAUUCGUGUCCAGCCCAUAACUUUGUUAUUUCAAGUUGGAUUUUAAAACUAUUUCACAGAAAUGAUCACCAUAUUGAGACGACGUGUCGCCCGCAACAUUUGGUUCGCUACCUUGAAGUUCAAGGUCACACCGUGACCUUGAACAAAAAUUGUGUCCGGCCAAUAUCUUGGUUAUUUGAUGUCGGAUUUUACAACUAUUUCACAGAAAUGAUCACCAUAUUGAGGCGAUGUGUUGCACACACCAUUUGGGUCAAUACCUUGAAGGUCAAGGUCGCAACAUGACAUUGAAGCAAAAUGGUGUCCAGCCCAUAAAUUCGUUAUUUGAAGUCGGAUUUUACAACUAUUUCACCGAAGUGAUCACCAUAUUGAGAUGAUAUGUCACACGCAAACAUUUGGGUCAUUACCUUGAAGGUCAAGGUCACAGCAUGACCUUGAAGCAAAAAUGUGUCUGGCCCAUAGUGUCGUUAUUUGAAGUGUGAUUUUACAACUAUUUUGGAAUUAUCAGACUUUGAACUUUGUCUGGAACAUAACCCUGAAACUUCAAAAGAUAUACUUUUCUGUGUCCAAAUCCUAGUCGGGGGAGGAUCACCCUGGUUCAAUAGGCUCUUGUUUUUAAUUGAUUAUUAAGUAAUAUGAACAAUGCAUGAUAGCAUCAUAACUAAAGAGUGGAAAUUUAUGAAAGUCAAAUAUGUAAAGAAUCAGUUGCUAAUAAAAUG